This 292-nucleotide ribosomal RNA is filed under the name uncultured bacterium. Its description in RNAcentral is "partial 16S ribosomal RNA". It matches the Rfam family "Bacterial small subunit ribosomal RNA", at positions 505 to 796 of the family's 1533-position model. The record is from RNAcentral.
GUGUCAGCAGCCGCGGUAAUACGUAGGAUGCGAGCGUUGUCCGGAUUCACUGGGUGUAAAGGGAGCGCAGGCGGGUUUGUAAGUCGGUGGUGAAAUCCUCAGGCUUAACCUGAGAACUGCCACCGAUACUGUAAAUCUUGAGUGUGGAAGAGGCCGAUGGAAUUCCUGGUGUAGCGGUGAAAUGCGUAGAUAUCAGGAAGAACACCGAUGGCGAAGGCAGUCGGCUGGUCCAUUACUGACGCUCAUGCUCGAAAGCGUGGGGAUCAAACAGGAUUAGAUACCCGCGUAGUCC